CGUAUAACCUAUCAGAACUUACGUUUGUGUUUGGCUGUAAUAAAUGUUUUAUUAUAAACUGCGUGUUGAUAAAAGAGAAAAGAAAGAAAUUGUGCAGUGAUUUUAACAUACACUUUUGAUCUGUAUUUGAAUGUUGUGGUUAACAACAAUUAGUUACAGUGUGUUUCUCUCACAAAGCCCGUGAAGUUGGAGCUGGAACUGAACCUGGAAAGGGGAGAACACGAGAUUAUACGUACUGUAUUUUGAUUAAUUUUUCGUCUCACCGGGGAUCACGUGCCAUUAAUUUUUGCGUCGUGUAUUCGUCUGAAGACCACUAAGCAUCCGUUUCUGAUUUUGAAUCUUACUGUACUACUUUCCUUUAGUGUAAACUUCAUUCAGCUUUUUUGUUAUGUUAUUCUCUCAUAUCUCCUUGUGUCAAUUUGAAUCAAAGAGAGUUGGUGGGUGGCAACUGUGUACUGAUGAAUGUCGUAGUCCCUUCUGUAUAAGUACUGGACCUUGUAGUUACAGAAAUUGAGGCCGCAAUGACAGUAGAAUUGAAUCAGCUGGGAGAUGCUCUGCCUGCAUUGCAGUCUUCUUCAGUUGCAAGGCAAUUGGGGCAGCAGUGUAGCAGUAGCUUAAUAACCAGGUUAUGUGACGGCACACAGACAUUUUUUGUCAUCGAUUACUACAUUCCCUCAUUUGUGAUAAGUUUUGAUACAUCAAGAGCUGGUAUUUCAUGAUUUGCCUGAGGUGAAACAUCAAUUUUGAAGAUGAAAUUUGUGGUAUCGUAAUGGAGCAAGCAAUGGGGAACAUAGCAGCACACUGAACAAAAACAUAUGCAGAUGAUGAUUGACGACAUCCUGUGUUUUGCAAAUUCCAGUCUCAAUACAUCACAUAUGAAUAACACAGUUGUUUUGUGUAAGCGCUACUGAAAGGUGAAGAGGAAGUUGUGGUGUGAUGCAUCAAACCAGUCAGAACAACGCUUAUGAAAUUUUCAUUACUUCCUCUUACAAGCGUUGUACGCCCCUUUUUGUGCUACAGACAACCCUAAAGUGGUGUACUGAAUGUCAUU
Schistocerca americana (American grasshopper) is the source of this 1051-nucleotide long non-coding RNA. RefSeq lists it as uncharacterized. Lineage: Eukaryota; Metazoa; Arthropoda; Insecta; Orthoptera; Acrididae. The record is from RefSeq and is a predicted model, not a curated record. The transcript has 3 exons.